This 855-nucleotide ribosomal RNA is filed under the name uncultured bacterium. RNAcentral describes it as "bacterial SSU rRNA". It matches the Rfam family "Bacterial small subunit ribosomal RNA", at positions 28 to 896 of the family's 1533-position model. The record is from RNAcentral.
GAUGAACGCUAGCGGCAGGCCUAAUACAUGCAAGUCGAACGGUGUCUUCGGACAUAGCGGCGCACGGGUGCGUAACACGUAUGCAACCUACCUUACAUUGGGGGAUAGCCUUUCGAAAGGGAGAUUAAUACCGCAUAAGACAGUAACUAGGCAUCUAGUAGCUGUUAAAGAUUUAUCGAUGUAAGCUGGGCAUGCGACCAAUUAGCUUGUUGGUGAGGUAAUGGCUCACCAAGGCUAUGAUUGGUAGGGGAACUGAGAGGUCAAUCCCCCACACUGGCACUGAGAUACGGGCCAGACUCCUACGGGAGGCAGCAGUAGGGAAUAUUGGGCAAUGGACGCAAGUCUGACCCAGCCAUGCCGCGUGCAGGAUGAAGGCGUUAUGCGUUGUAAACUGCUUUUAUACAGGAAGAAACGACUCUUGCGAGAGGCAUUGACGGUACUGUGUGAAUAAGCACCGGCUAACUCCGUGCCAGCAGCCGCGGUAAUACGGAGGGUGCAAGCGUUGUCCGGAUUUAUUGGGUUUAAAGGGUGCGCAGGUGGUUUAUUAAGUCAGUGGUGAAAGACGGUCGCUCAACGAUUGCAGUGCCAUUGAAACUGGUAGACUUGAGUAAAGUAGAGGUGGGCGGAAUUGAUAGUGUAGCGGUGAAAUGCAUAGAUAUUAUCAAGAACUCCAAUUGCGUAGGCAGCUCACUUGGCUUUUACUGACACUCAUGCACGAAAGUGUGGGUAUCAAACAGGAUUAGAUACCCUGGUAGUCCACACUGUAAACGAUGAUAACUAGGUGUCGGCCGAAUCUGGUCGGUGCCACAGCGAAAGCGUUAAGUUAUCCACCUGGGGAGUACGCCGGCAACGGUG